CCUGUCCCUAGAGGUGGUACAAGUGUGGCUGUUGUGUAACAUGUGUUUUCAGUUGGUGACAGAGAGGCUAUGUCUAUGCUCAGCUCAGUGUUCCGAUCUAUUAAUACCUGAAUUAUUAGCAGCCUAACAUG
Molecule: small nucleolar RNA, 131 nt
Organism: Arvicanthis niloticus (Nile rat)
Lineage: Eukaryota; Metazoa; Chordata; Mammalia; Rodentia; Muridae
Product: small nucleolar RNA SNORA17
Source: RefSeq, a predicted model, not a curated record